Molecule: unclassified non-coding RNA, 2747 nt
Filed under: Eurytemora carolleeae
Lineage: Eukaryota; Metazoa; Arthropoda; Copepoda; Calanoida; Temoridae
Description: uncharacterized LOC111718042
Source: RNAcentral
AAAAUUUUAGUUGUUUUUCUUAAAUUUUGAAUAUUUAGUAAAGAAAUCACGACAAGAAGAAUGAUGCCGGUGUCUCAGGGAAGAAGGAUGGAUAGAAAAAGGAAGAGAAGAAUGAAACUGAAGAGAUUAAGAAGUCAGGGCAGCCAGAUGGCUAUUUUUCCAGCCACAUUUCCUUAAAAUGGCUAUCUUUCAAGGCUGUGGCAGAAGUGGCUUAAUGGCUUAAUAGUGGCUUUUUUUCAAAGUUUUACAGUAAAACCUUUAAAUUUACAUUUAUCGACAGUAAAAACUAUAAUUUAAGUUCAUGACACAUCACACAAACCAAAGUUUGGCUGCAAUUAUCUCUCUCAUAAUCAAAGUUUCUUGCAAGUUGUACUUUCAAAAGUCGGGUAUUUCUACUGUUUACGUCUAUAGAGUACGUUCAUCUGGUGGACAAAAUCUGUAACUGUACAAGUGUUCACAAACCAGUCUUCAGCUUCAGGAUACCUGAAACACUUCAUUUAUCAAAGGAAAAAGAUUCUUUUGAAAAUAAUCUUUUGCUUAGUGCUUGCAUUUACAGUUAUACAGCUUGGAUUAGAAUUGAAAUAUACUUACUAUGCUUAUUAAUUUACAGUUGAUAAGUUAUUAAAAUUGUUUCAUAAAGAAUGGGUAGUCCAGUCAAAAGAAAAAGAGGAGGAUCAGUCAGCAAAGUGAGAUCAGAACCUAGGAGACGUAUUAAGGGAAAAAAAGACUUCCCAUGGCUGAAACCAGGAACUGACCAUGGAUAUCAUCAAGAUUCAAAAUGUAGUUUGAGUGAUGAAUCCAUUCGUUCUCACAAGAGUUCACUCCAGAGUCAUAAGAACUCUCAAAAACACUCAUCCAAGGACCCCAAUAAAUCUAAACACCUGGUGAAUAUUAACAGUUUUUUGGGUAAUUCUUCUAAGACAAGCAAGAAAAGAGCUGAGAUCAAGAUUGCUGCUUGCAUGGCAUCAAAUGCAAGCCUUAGCUGCAUUAAUCACACUGGAGAGAUUAUUAAGGAGUUUGGUGUUGGAUCUUCUUGGGAAAAAUUGCGCUUGCAUCGCACCAAAUGUACAGCUUUGGUUAAUAAUUUAAUAUCCCGGUCCUUUAAAGGAGAACUCAAAAAAGCUAUCCAAGGUAGAAAGUUUUCACUUAUGGCAGAAGAAUCAACAGACUGCUCUUCCUCAAAGAUAAUGAUUGUCACAGUGAAAUACUAUAAUUCUACUCUGAAAAAAGUAUUAGAUGAAUAUUUGGGAGUGAUUGAUGUUCUGUCCUGCACUGGAGAAGCAUUGUUUGUUGCCCUUAAAAAGGUUGUUGAAGAUGUUGGGCUGGACCUUGAUGACUGCAUUGGAUUCGGCUCUGAUGGGGCAAAUAAUGUUGCAGGCCAGUCAAACUCUCUUUGGUCAAGAAUUAAGAUGGCCUGUCCUGGAGCUGUUCAAGUAAAGUAUGCCAUAGUCUGGCAUUGGUAUUGAAAUGGACUUUUGAUACCAUGCCUGGGGCAUUUGGGAUUUCUCAUCAUGGAGAUUCCAGGAUUCUUUUCUCACUCUGCACUUCAGAGAGAAGAAUAUCAGGAGGUACAGAAGGCGAUGUAUGUUGAUGAAGGUGUAUCUACUCCAUUGCAAGACUUGUUGACUUGUUCAAGGUCCUGUCAUGAACUGAAUUCUAUCCAAUUGAGAUGGGUUGCAGGCCUAUUUGUCAAACUUAGCCAAAUCCCUGAGUUUGGAUAACAAGGUGAAAGCUAAAUGCAGAAUUAUAGAAAGCUAUUUGCUUAACCCUGCUAACAGGCUCUACUUUGAGUUUGUUUGCCCUAUUGUAGCAGAAUAUGAGCGUGUAAAUGCUAUGUUCCAGCAAAACAACCCUAAUAUAUCUUUAAUGGUAAGGGAGGUAGAUCUUCAAAUCAAGGCAAUAAGAGACCGGGUUUAUUUUCCUAACAAAAAACCAAAGGAGAUGCACCACAUCUCAUUUGGAGCCAAGUUUAAGGAAAUGUGCCGAGUACAUGAGGUUAAGAAUCCAAAUAUGGUAUUGAACGUACAGACCAGGUGUAAGUUAUACCUGGAGACGGUUCUCAAGGAAACGGAGAAAAAAGUCACAGUAAACAUGGAAACAAUAGGAAAAAUAUCAAGAAUUUCCCCGCAGCUGAUCCUGGACAUAAACAAGGAAAUAAGAAUGGACCAGUUACCAUUCCCCUCAGUUUAUAAGUAACAUUUCGAUGGUCGAAAGUCAAAUCAUGAAGAUCAAACAUGUUGACUGGGUCUCUUCUCUGAAAAAUGAAAUCCCAGGAGAUGCAGCUGAGUUUUGGUCUCAUGUUUCCGAAUACACCAUCGAAGAUGGAACCAAACCUUUCUAUGAACUAUCUACAUACUUUCUAAACCUUCUUAGUAUGCCUGUCCAAGCGCGUUUGUAGAGAGAUGUUUCUCUUUGAGUCACUUUUGUGAAAGAUAAAUAUGCAAAUAGGAUGCAAACUAAAACCUUGGAUUCCAUUUUACGUCUAAAGUCCUUUCUCCAUGCGAGAAAUAUCUGUUGCAAGGAGUUGCAAAUCACCGACGAAAUGCUGAACAGGUUUAACUCCCACAACAUGUACCCGACCCAGGUUCCUUCUGAUGAUGAAUCUUUAGCUGUUAUAAACCUGUGCUCCAAGAUAGAAUAAGUAUUAUUUAGAUAAAACAUAAAUUUGAAAAUUGUGAUUGCUACAGUCAGAAAUGUGAUAUUUGUUUUUGGUUUUAAAACCUUGAAGUUUAUAUGUAUUUUUUUCA